RNAcentral lists this ribosomal RNA (263 nucleotides) under Bacillus cereus. RNAcentral's name for it is "partial 16S ribosomal RNA". It matches the Rfam family "Bacterial small subunit ribosomal RNA", at positions 158 to 414 of the family's 1533-position model. Lineage: Bacteria; Bacillati; Bacillota; Bacilli; Caryophanales; Bacillaceae. The record is from RNAcentral.
CGGGGCUAAUACCGGAUAACAUUUUGAACCGCAUGGUUCGAAAUUGAAAGGCGGCUUCGGCUGUCACUUAUGGAUGGACCCGCGUCGCAUUAGCUAGUUGGUGAGGUAACGGCUCACCAAGGCAACGAUGCGUAGCCGACCUGAGAGGGUGAUCGGCCACACUGGGACUGAGACACGGCCCAGACUCCUACGGGAGGCAGCAGUAGGGAAUCUUCCGCAAUGGACGAAAGUCUGACGGAGCAACGCCGCGUGAGUGAUGAAGG